Molecule: non-coding RNA, 64 nt
Organism: Bacteroidia bacterium 44-10
Lineage: Bacteria; Pseudomonadati; Bacteroidota; Bacteroidia
Source: Rfam
UCCAUUGCGAGGUGGAAUCUGAAGGAAGUCGGCGGCAAACUCCCGAAUAAUCAACGGUUCUGUA